GAUGAACGCUGGCGGCGUGCUUAACACAUGCAAGUCGAACGGAAAGGCUCCUGCUUGCAGGGGUACUCGAGUGGCGAACGGGUGAGUAACACGUGGGUGAUCUGCCCUGCACUUCGGGAUAAGCCUGGGAAACUGGGUCUAAUACCGGAUAGGACGAUGGUUUGGAUGCCAUUGUGGAAAGUUUUUCGGUGUGGGAUGAGCUCGCGGCCUAUCAGCUUGUUGGUGGGGUAAUGGCCUACCAAGGCGUCGACGGGUAGCCGGCCUGAGAGGGUGUACGGCCACAUUGGGACUGAGAUACGGCCCAGACUCCUACGGGAGGCAGCAGUGGGGAAUAUUGCACAAUGGGCGCAAGCCUGAUGCAGCGACGCCGCGUGGGGGAUGACGGCCUUCGGGUUGUAAACUCCUUUCGCUAGGAACGAAGCGCAAGUGACGGUACCUGGAGAAGAAGCACCGGCUAACUACGU
This 464-nucleotide ribosomal RNA is filed under the name uncultured bacterium. Its description in RNAcentral is "partial 16S ribosomal RNA". It matches the Rfam family "Bacterial small subunit ribosomal RNA", at positions 28 to 506 of the family's 1533-position model. The record is from RNAcentral.